GCUGGGUGUGGUGGCGCGCGCCUGUAGUCCCAGCUACUCAGGAGGCUGAGGCACGAGAAUCCCUUGAAACUGGGAGGUGGAGGUUGUAGUGAGCCGAGAUCGUGCCACUGCACUCUAGCCUGGGUGACAGAGGGAGACUGUGUCUCAA
Pongo abelii (Sumatran orangutan) is the source of this 148-nucleotide unclassified non-coding RNA. It matches the Rfam family "Metazoan signal recognition particle RNA". Rfam says of the family: The signal recognition particle (SRP) is a universally conserved ribonucleoprotein. It is involved in the co-translational targeting of proteins to membranes. The eukaryotic SRP consists of a 300-nucleotide 7S RNA and six proteins: SRPs 72, 68, 54, 19, 14, and 9. The record is from Ensembl. Lineage: Eukaryota; Metazoa; Chordata; Mammalia; Primates; Hominidae.